CCAUUUAAUGUAUAGUUUAUUUCUAGGUUUUCCUUCUGUGUUUUUAGACACUGAGAUGCCUAAAUAUUGAUUUGUUUAUUAUUUUGUUUCUUUAUUUUUCCAGCUCCCAGUAAAACACAAUUUAUUUCUCUGAAACCUAAAAUCCCUCUCAGCCCAGAAGUGACACACACCAAACCUGCUCCCAAGCAGACACCACGUGCUCCUCCUAAGCCAAAAACAUCACCACGCCCAAGAAUCCCACAGACACAACCAGUUCCUAAGGUGCCCCAGCGUUUUACUGCAAAACCAAAAACGUUACCAAGUCCAGAAGUGUCAUACACCACACCUGCUCCUCUAGAGACACGAGGCAUCCCUUUUAUACCUAUGAUUUCCCCAAGUCCUAGUCAAGAGGAACUACAGACUACUCUGGAAGAAACAGACCAAUCCACCCAAGAACCUUUCACAACUAAGAUUCCACAAACAACUGAACUGGCAAAGACAACUCAGGCACCACACAGAUUUUAUACUACUGUGAGGCCCAGAACAUCUGACAAGCCACACAUCAGACCUGUUCUGAAUAGGACAACUACAAGACCUACUAGGCCCAAACCCAGUGGGAUGCCCAGUGGGAAUGGAGUGGGAACAGGGGUCAAGCAAGUACCCAGGCCAUCAGGUGUUGGUAGAAAUAUAUCAGUGGACUCUACCCACCCCACUAAAAAGCCAGGGACUCGCCGCCCACCCUUGCCACCCAGACCUACACCCCCACGAAGAAAACCUUUACCACCAAAUAAUGUCACUGGAAAGCCGGGAAGUGCAGGAAUCAUUUCUUCAGGCCCAAUAACUAUACCACCCCUGAGGUCAACACUCAGACCUACUGGAACUCCCUUGGAGAGAAUAGCAACAGAUAUAAAGCAACCAACAGUUCCUGCCUCUGGAGAAGAACUGGAAAAUAUAACUGACUUCAGCUCAAGCCCAACAAGAGAAACCGAUCCUCUUGGGAAGCCAAGAUUCAAAGGUCCUCAUGUGCGAUACAUCCAAAAGCCUGACAACAGUCCCUGCUCCAUUACUGACUCCGUCAAACGGUUCCCCAAAGAGGAGGCCACAGAGGGAAAUGCCACCAGCCCACCACAGAACCCACCCACCAACCUCACUGUGGUCACUGUGGAAGGGUGCCCCUCAUUUGUCAUCUUGGACUGGGAAAAGCCACUAAAUGACACUGUCACUGAAUAUGAAGUUAUAUCCAGAGAAAAUGGGUCAUUCAGUGGGAAGAACAAGUCCAUUCAAAUGACAAAUCAGACCUUUUCCACAGUAGAAAAUCUGAAACCAAACACAAGUUACGAAUUCCAGGUGAAACCCAAAAACCCGCUUGGUGAAGGCCCGGUCAGCAACACAGUGGCAUUCAGUACUGAAUCAGCGGACCCAAGAGUGAGUGAGCCAGUUUCUGCAGGAAGAGAUGCCAUCUGGACUGAAAGACCCUUUAAUUCAGACUCUUACUCAGAGUGUAAGGGCAAACAAUAUGUCAAAAGGACAUGGUAUAAAAAAUUUGUAGGAGUGCAGCUGUGCAACUCUCUCAGAUACAAGAUUUACUUGAGCGACUCCCUCACAGGAAAAUUUUAUAACAUAGGUGAUCAGAGGGGCCAUGGAGAAGAUCACUGCCAGUUUGUGGAUUCAUUUUUAGAUGGACGCACUGGGCAGCAACUCACUUCUGACCAGUUACCAAUCAAAGAAGGUUAUUUCAGAGCAGUUCGCCAGGAACCUGUCCAAUUUGGAGAAAUAGGUGGUCACACCCAAAUCAAUUAUGUUCAGUGGUAUGAAUGUGGGACUACAAUUCCUGGAAAAUGGUAGAUGCUGCACAAAGUUACCUUGUUUCAUCAUGGCAAACAAAAAUCACUGAAAAUACUAUGUCACAUUCAUUUAAAGCUAUUUUGUUUACUAUGUAUAAAAGUCUACAAUCUAAUUAAUAGCAAUACUAGAUGUUUAUUAUUAGAAAAGAUUGCUGAGAGUAUUUAUCAGGUUUUACAAAGUCAUUUUAAGAAAGCAAGAUAUUGAUGUUAACAGAAUAACAUUUUUGGGGAAGCUGGCUCCCUAUUCAUGGUAUUUUAAGAGAUCGUUUGUAUAUUAUUUAUCACACUGUUGUAAUGAUGUUUUGAGAUACUUCUUUUGUAACAAAAUUAACAUCAAAAAAGGUAUAUACUUUUUAAAAAUAUUUACUUUUAUUGAUGUGUACUCUUCCUAUUGACGAGUUAAUUCCAUAAAUCUCUACUUAGUUUAACUUAUUGGAUCAAAUUGUCUUCAGCAUAUAUAUCUGGGGAAAAAAGGUCCGAAUUUUCACAUUUAUAUUUAAACUUCAAUUUUUUAGCAACAGCUGAAUAGCUUUGCGGUGGAGUUUAAUAGUUACACAUUCAUGCUAAUAUACAUUUCCUUUAAACAUCCACAAAUUCUUAAAAAGAUUGAAUCAGUAAAUUUCAUUUCAGCUAAAAAUGGGGUCUAAUAUAUUGUUUCAAAAGAUACAUUUUUACCCACCAUAAAUGUUACGAUAUCUGAAUAUGCUUUGUCAAACUAUCCCUUUAUGCAAUCGUCUUCAUAUUGUUUUUGAUUCUAAUCAAGCUGUAUGUAGAGACUGAAUGUGAAGUCAAGUCUGAGCAACAAAAAGAUAAUGCACGAUGAGAGAUUGCCUACCAUUUUAUAGGAUAUUUACUAUGUAUUUAUACAUUAAGACCUCUAUGAAUGAAUGUAUCAGAGAAUGUCUUUGUAACUGUUUGUUUAAUUCAAUCUGUAAUAAAAAUCUGACUCAUUUCUACUAAAAAGGUAUUGUCCUUUAGGCAGGGAAUGGGACUCCUUGCUGCACUGUUGCAGUCAUUCUGAAAGGACCUUUCCCUGUACUUACCUUUCAACAUGCUUCAAUCUUAUCAACGCUACAUUUUGUAUUUUUCAAACAAACAAGUACAAAUUCUGCAAUAAAGAGAUGUAGUUUUUUUUAA
This 2960-nucleotide small RNA is filed under the name Pongo abelii (Sumatran orangutan). Its description in RNAcentral is "retained intron". Lineage: Eukaryota; Metazoa; Chordata; Mammalia; Primates; Hominidae. The record is from RNAcentral.